AAAGCGCGGAGUCACUGCUGGAGGGAGGGGGAGCGGAAUUAGCGGGCAGUUGGAAAGCCCGCGAAACGCUCUUUCCGCCUGGGAGGCCGGACGACAGCGCUCGGGCAGGAAGAAGAGGAAGUGCUCCUCCUCUAGGGAUUGUCAGGGGCUUCGUCCCGACGAGAGCUGACUGCCCUGGGCUGCUGCUGACCUCCGGCGGAGCUGAGCCAAAAUGUCCCCGGAAUCUAAAAAGCUUUUCAACAUCAUUAUUUUAGGAGUUGCUUUUAUGUUUAUGUUCACUGCCUUUCAAACUUGUGGAAAUGUGGCGCAAACUGUCAUCAGGAGCUUAAAUAACACAGAUUUUCACGGCAGUGGAUAUACCAGCAUGGCCAUUAUCUAUGGAGUGUUCUCUGCCUCAAAUUUGAUUACACCGUCAGUGGUGACCAUUGUAGGACCUCAACUCUCUAUGUUUGCCAGUGGUUUAUUUUACAGCAUGUACAUUGCCGUUUUUAUCCAGCCUUUCCCAUGGUCCUUCUACACAGCCUCUGUUUUCAUUGGAAUUGCAGCUGCUGUGCUUUGGACAGCACAAGGAAACUGCCUGACAAUAAAUUCCGAUGAGCACACCAUUGGGAGAAACAGUGGGAUUUUCUGGGCACUCCUGCAGUCUAGCUUGUUCUUUGGAAAUCUCUACAUAUAUUUUGCCUGGCAAGGGAAAACUCAGAUAUCAGAGAGUGACCGAAGAACAGUGUUUAUUGCCCUAACAGUGAUUAGCCUUGUGGGGACAGUUCUGUUCUUUCUCAUUCGGAAACCAGAUUCUGAAAAUGUCCUAGGAGAAGAUGAAUCUUCUGAUGAUCAGGACAUGGAAGUCAACGAGUCUGCCCAGAACAAUCUGACAAAGGCAGUAGAUGCUUUUAAAAAGUCUUUUAAGUUAUGUGUCACCAAGGAGAUGCUCCUUCUUAGUAUUACAACUGCUUAUACAGGUCUGGAGUUAACGUUCUUUUCUGGUGUAUAUGGAACCUGUAUUGGUGCUAUAAAUAAAUUUGGAGCGGAAGAGAAAAGCCUUAUUGGACUUUCCGGCAUUUUCAUCGGCAUUGGAGAAAUUUUAGGUGGAAGCCUCUUCGGCCUGCUGAGCAAGAACAAUCGUUUUGGUAGAAAUCCAGUUGUGCUGCUAGGCAUCCUGGUGCACUUUAUGGCUUUUUAUCUAAUAUUUCUCAACAUGCCUGGAGAUGCUCCCAUUGCUCCCAUUGAAGGAACUGACAGCAGUGCAUACAUCAGAUCCAGCAAAGAAGUUGCCAUUCUCUGCAGUUUUCUGUUGGGCCUUGGAGACAGCUGCUUUAAUACCCAGCUGCUUAGUAUCUUGGGCUUUCUGUACUCUGAAGAUAGCGCCCCAGCAUUUGCCAUCUUCAAGUUUGUUCAGUCUAUUUGCGCAGCCGUGGCAUUUUUCUACAGCAACUACCUUCUCCUUCACUGGCAACUCCUGGUCAUGGUGAUAUUUGGGUUUUCUGGAACAAUUUCAUUCUUCACUGUGGAAUGGGAAGCUGCUGCCUUUGUAGCCCGCGGCUCAGACUACCAAAGUAUCUGAUCAGGUGUCCAUGAGGGGACACGUGUGACCUCAGAAACAGAGUUGGACACAGAGCUUGGUAGAAGAAGUCUCCUUUGAUCUUCACACUAUAUUGGAUGAUGUUCAGUAUGGAAAAUCAAGGAAUUAAGACUGUUAAAUCAGCCAGAGUUGGUUUUCAAGUUUACAUACAUGAGUUAUUUAAACUGUUGGCUAAAGACCACUUUCUGCCCUUCGUCAUGCGGAAUAGGCCUCAGAGCAGCCCACAGAAUGGCAGCCGUCUCCAUCAAAGGACGCAAGCAAGGACAGCCGGAGAGAGCGAGAACAAGAUGGAAGCCGCAGCCUCUCAUAACUUCAUCACUCUGCACUUUGUCUAUUAGGUGCUAGUAACUAAUUGCAGCCUCCCCUCAGGGGAGGGGAUUGGUGGGGAGCAUCUUACAAGGCUGCCCACCUUGUCCAACCUGUCAUACCAAGACUUACAUUGAAGGUGACAACUGGGUCCUAUAUUCCCAAGCCCCACAUCCUCCAGACCCUCGCUCUGUUUGCUCAUAAUGGAUCUGUACAACUCUGCUGGCAGCAGGAGGUGAAGCAGCCUCUGUUAAUGACAUUGAGAAUUUUCCUGACAAGCCAUGGCAUCUUGUCACCACUAGGAUUCCUGAUGAUCAUUGUCAAAAGGGAAAUGAAAUGGAGUGAAGUGCAGUAUGGCCGAAACCCUUUUCCUAGGCUGUCUCGCACUUGCUAUGUGCUAUAGCAUUCAUUUUUAGUUUUAUACUUGCUUUUUUGUUAGAGACAGGGUCUCGCUCUGUUGCCCAGGCUAGUUUGCAGUCGCAUAAUCAUGGCUCACUGUAGCUUCAACCUCUUAGGCUCAAGCAAUACUGCCUCAGCCUCCCAAGUAGCUAGUAAUUUUUUUUUUAAUUUUUUGUAAAGACAAUGUCUUAUUAUCUUGCCCAGGCUGCCCUUGAACUCCUGGGCUCCAGUGAGCCUCCUGCCUUGGCCUCCCAAAGUACUGGGAUUACAGGGAUGAGCUACUAUGCUUUUUUUUUUCCCCUCCCCCAUGGGAAGUUUGUUUUGCUUUUAUUCAGUUCUUGUGUCUAUACAUAGACUUGAUCUUGGUCGGCUCUUUGGAUGACUGGAUACCAUUAAGGUCAUCUCUUAAAUUCUUGGCAUUAGUUGAGUUAAAGAUGAAAUGGGGGCCAGGCUUCAUUUUGGGAGGGUGAGGUGGGAGGAUCACAAGGUCAAGAGUUUGCGACCAGCCUGACCAACAUGGUGAAACCUCAUCUUUACUAAGAAUACACAAAUUAGCCAGGUGUGGUGGUGGGCACCUGUAAUCCCAGCUAUGCAGUAGGCUGAAGCAGGAGAAUUGCUUGAAUCCGGGAGGCGGAGGUUGCUGUGAGCCAAGGUCACACCACUGCAUGCCAGCCUGAGUGACAGAGCAAGACUCUGUCUUGGGGAGAAAGAAAAAUAAAGAUGAAAUGUGACAAUGAAAUAGAGUUUAAUUUUUAUGCUUGUCUUAUAUAUGCUGUUGAAAAAUGUUGUCCUGAUACUUCCAGCUAAGUAAAUGCCUCAGCUGGGCCUCCCAUGGGUGUGUGCUUGUGUGUGUGGAUGUCCUACUCUUUUAUUGCAAGUUUCAUAUUUUCUGUAUUUAGAUUUGGUUUAGACCUUGAGCAAUGUUUAUUGAACCACAGGUGUUUUUCUCUGUGAGAAUGAAAGCACUCCUCUCUUCCCUCCCGAGUUUUCCCAUACCCCAACUUGAAAGCCUUCAAACGUGUGCUUUGACUGCCCACACAGAUUUCUUUCCUCUAGAAGUUUUUGUUGGCUGAUUGGUUGGUUGUUGACUUACAGUAAGUUCCUUGGGAGUUUUGGGUUUUUUUUCCCUUUAUUUUUCUUGAGGUGGAAUUUGGCUCUUGUUGCCCAGGCUGGAGUGCAAUGGUGUGGUUUUGGCUCACAGCAACCUCCACCUCCUGAUUACAAACGAUUCUCCCGUCUCAGCCUCCCGAAUAAUCCCAGCACUUUGGGAGGCUGAGGCGGGUGGAUUAUGAGGUCAGGAGAUCGAGACCAUCCUGGCCAGUACGCUGAAUCCCCGUCUCUAUUAAAAAUACAAAAAUUAGCCAGGUGUGGUGGCAAAUGCCUGUAGUUUCAGCUACUUGGGAGGCUGAGGCAGGAGAAUCGCUUGAACCCAGGAGGCAGAAGUUGCAGUGAGCUGAGAUUGCACCUCUGCACUCCAGCCUGAUGACAGAGCAAGACUCCGUCACAAAAAAAAAAAAAAAAAAAAAAAAAAAGAA
Molecule: non-coding RNA, 3819 nt
Organism: Callithrix jacchus (white-tufted-ear marmoset)
Lineage: Eukaryota; Metazoa; Chordata; Mammalia; Primates; Cebidae
Source: RefSeq, a predicted model, not a curated record